GAGAGAGCACGUGCUGGGCAGCCACGCGCCACGGGGUAAGAGCUGAACGCAUCUAAGCUCGAAACCCACUUGAAAAAGAGAUACCAUCCGAGAUCACUCGUAGAAGACGAGUUCGAUAGACUCGGGGUGUACGCACCAAGGCAACGAGGUGUUGAGCCCGCGAGCACUAAUCGAUCGAGCC
Molecule: ribosomal RNA, 181 nt
Filed under: Halostagnicola kamekurae
Lineage: Archaea; Methanobacteriati; Methanobacteriota; Halobacteria; Halobacteriales; Natrialbaceae
Description: partial 23S rRNA. Archaeal LSU
Rfam family: Archaeal large subunit ribosomal RNA
Source: RNAcentral